Molecule: long non-coding RNA, 590 nt
Filed under: Coffea arabica (coffee)
Lineage: Eukaryota; Viridiplantae; Streptophyta; Magnoliopsida; Gentianales; Rubiaceae
Description: long non-coding RNA (CARA_LNC006361)
Source: RNAcentral
UUGUCCACCGAAUGAAGAGGAUUUGGGUGAUCAGCCGAGAGAAAGUGAGGAAGGCUUCAUUCUCUUGCUCCACUUCAGACCAACCGAGAGAGUAGAGAGAGAGCUCUGCAUUUUCCUAGGCAACUAACUGCUAAAUUCCAAGUGGUGGCUGAAGAAUCAAAUAGAAGGUUGCUUGCAAAGUCCAAGCAGUGACCGACCGAAAACAAGGAGAAGUUAUCUGUCAAUAUCUUUGGGUGGUGGCCGAGAGGAAAACAAAAACUUCAAUUCCUUUCCUUUUCAACCCAACACCGAGAGUAAAACUAAGAGAGUGGGAGAGAAAGGUUAGCUAGCUUCAUCACCAACUAACCAAAAACAAGAAGGAGUAUAGCGAGGAAAGCAGGAGAAGCUCGAGCUAGGACCUUGAGGAACUGAAUCAGGGAGAGCUAGAGCAGUCGGCAAUUUCAGAUUCUAAGGAAAGAAAAAAAAAGGUAAAAUUUUAUAAACCUCCUGCUUAUUUAGUGUAAUUGAAUGUUUAAGCUGUGUAUAAACUUUAGCUAGGAAAAAAUGAGUUCUUGGUUGGAAAAAGAAACUUUGUGCAGAACCGAAUGGCA